GUGGGGAAUCUUCCGCAAUGGACGAAAGUCUGACGGAGCGACGCCGCGUGAGUGAAGAAGGCCUUCGGGUCGUAAAGCUCUGUCAUCAGGGACGAACGGCCGGUGGAGUGGAAAGCCACCGGAUUGACGGGACCUGAGAAGGAAGCCACGGCUAACUACGUGCCAGCAGCCGCGGUAAUACGGAGGUGGCAAGGGUUGUCCGGAAUGAUUGGGCGUAAAGCGCGCGCAGGCGGGAUCUUAAGUCCAUUGUGAAAGUUCGGAGCUCAACUCCGUGAUGGGAUGGAAACUAGGAUUCUUGAGUACCGGAGAGGAAAGCGGAAUUCCCCGUGUAGCGGUGAAAUGCGUAGAUAUGGGGAGGAACACCAGUGGCGAAGGCGGCUUUCUGGACGGUGUCUGACACUGAGGCGCGAAAGCAUGGGUAGCAAACAGGAUUAGAAACCCUGGUAGUCC
RNAcentral lists this ribosomal RNA (450 nucleotides) under uncultured bacterium. Its description in RNAcentral is "partial 16S ribosomal RNA". It matches the Rfam family "Bacterial small subunit ribosomal RNA", at positions 354 to 796 of the family's 1533-position model. The record is from RNAcentral.